Non-coding RNA from Acanthosepion pharaonis, 112 nucleotides. NCBI's taxonomy places the organism in Eukaryota, Metazoa, Mollusca, Cephalopoda, Sepiida, Sepiidae. The record is from the annotation of a GenBank genome assembly.
UUACGACCACAUCGCGUUGAAACACAGGUUCCCGUACGAUCACCGAAGUUAAGCAAAGUCGAGCCUGAUCAAUACCUAGAUAGGGGACCGCUUGAGAAUACCAGGUGCUAUA